GCGAACGCUGGCGGCAGGCUUAACACAUGCAAGUCGAACGGGCACCUUCGGGUGUCAGUGGCAGACGGGUGAGUAACACGUGGGAACGUGCCCUUUGGUUCGGAACAACUCCGGGAAACUGGAGCUAAUACCGGAUAAGCCCUUCGGGGGAAGAUUAUCGCCAAAGGAUCGGCCCGCGUCUGAUUAGCUUGUUGGUGAGGUAAUGGCUCACCAAGGCGACGAUCAGUAGCUGGUCUGAGAGGAUGAUCAGCCACACUGGGACUGAGACACGGCCCAGACUCCUACGGGAGGCAGCAGUGGGGAAUCUUGCGCAAUGGGCGGAAGCCUGACGCAGCAACGCCGCGUGUGGGAAGACGGCCUUCGGGUUGU
Molecule: ribosomal RNA, 369 nt
Filed under: uncultured bacterium
Lineage: Bacteria
Description: bacterial SSU rRNA
Rfam family: Bacterial small subunit ribosomal RNA
Source: RNAcentral